CCUACCUGAGCGUACUGCUCCUUGAGUGGACUGGAGAGCCGGAGGACAGCACAGACGUCAGCUCCAAGUCUGUGGGACAGGGAGAUCAGAAUCCAAUUAACCUAGAGGCUCCAGGAGUUUCCAGCUACCAGAAGAGGAGUCCAGAGGCCUGGGUUGAAGUCCCAUUUCUGCUAGUGGAUUAUUAUGAAACUCAUAUGACUAUAAAAGAGCCUUGAAACUAACAGGUAAAACCUAUAAAAUGGUAAUUACAGUA
Molecule: long non-coding RNA, 253 nt
Organism: Lemur catta (Ring-tailed lemur)
Lineage: Eukaryota; Metazoa; Chordata; Mammalia; Primates; Lemuridae
Exons: 2
Source: RefSeq, a predicted model, not a curated record